UGUGAUGGGUAGGGGAGCGUCGUGUGCCGGGUGAAGCAGCAGCGGAAGCUAGUUGUGGACGGUUCACGAGUGAGAAUGCAGGCAUGAGUAGCGAUACACACGUGAGAAACGUGUGCGCCGAUUGACUAAGGGUUCCUGGGUCAAGCUGAUCUGCCCAGGGUAAGUCGGGACCUAAGGCGAGGCCGACAGGCGUAGUCGAUGGACAACCGGUUGAUAUUCCGGUACCCGCUUUGAAACGCCCAAUAUCGAAUCAGGCGAUGCUAAGUCCGUGAAGCCGUUCCGGACCCUUCGGGGAAUGGAAAGUGGUGGAGCCGACGAACCAGACUUGUAGUAGGUAAGCGAUGGGGUGACGCAGGAAGGUAGUCCAGCCCGGGCGGUGGUUGUCCCGGGGUAAGGGUGUAGGCCGAGGGGUAGGCAAAUCCGUCCCUCAUAUAAGGCUGAGACCUGAUGCCGAGCCGAUUGUGGUGAAGUGGAUGAUCCUAUGCUGUCGAGAAAAGCCUCUAGCGAGUUUCAUGGCGGCCCGUACCCUAAACCGACUCAGGUGGUCAGGUAGAGAAUACCGAGGCGUUCGGGUGAACUAUGGUUAAGGAACUCGGCAAAAUGCCCCCGUAACUUCGGGAGAAGGGGGGCCAUCACUGGUGAUCGGAUUUACUCCGUGAGCUGGGGGUGGCCGCAGAGACCAGCGAGAAGCGACUGUUUACUAAAAACACAGGUCCGUGCGAAGCCGUAAGGCGAUGUAUACGGACUGACGCCUGCCCGGUGCUGGAACGUUAAGGGGACCGGUUAGUGCACUUUCGGGUGUGCGAAGCUGAGAACUUAAGCGCCAGUAAACGGCGGUGGUAACUAUAACCAUCCUAAGGUAGCGAAAUUCCUUGUCGGGUAAGUUCCGACCUGCACGAAUGGCGUAACGACUUCUCGACUGUCUCAACCAUAGGCCCGGUGAAAUUGCACUACGAGUAAAGAUGCUCGUUUCGCGCAGCAGGACGGAAAGACCCCGGGACCUUUACUACAGUUUGAUAUUGGUGUUCGGUUCGGCUUGUGUAGGAUAGGUGGGAGACUUUGAAGCCGUGACGCCAGUCAUGGUGGAGUCGCCGUUGAAAUACCACUCUGGUCGUGCUGGAUGUCUAACCUCGGUCCGUGAUCCGGAUCAGGGACAGUGUCUGAUGGGUAGUUUAACUGGGGCGGUUGCCUCCCAAAGGGUAACGGAGGCGCCCAAAGGUUCCCUCAGCCUGGUUGGCAAUCAGGUGUUGAGUGUAAGUGCACAAGGGAGCUUGACUGUGAGACCGACGGGUCGAGCAGGGACGAAAGUCGGGACUAGUGAUCCGGCGGUGGCUUGUGGAAGCGCCGUCGCUCAACGGAUAAAAGGUACCCCGGGGAUAACAGGCUGAUCUUCCCCAAGAGUCCAUAUCGACGGGAUGGUUUGGCACCUCGAUGUCGGCUCGUCGCAUCCUGGGGCUGGAGUCGGUCCCAAGGGUUGGGCUGUUCGCCCAUUAAAGCGGUACGCGAGCUGGGUUUAGAACGUCGUGAGACAGUUCGGUCCCUAUCCGCUGUGCGCGUAGGAAUAUUGAGAAGGGCUGUCCCUAGUACGAGAGGACCGGGACGGACGAACCUCUGGUGUGCCAGUUGUCCUGCCAAGGGCAUGGCUGGUUGGCUACGUUCGGGAGGGAUAACCGCUGAAAGCAUCUAAGCGGGAAGCCUGCUUCAAGAUGAGUAUUCCCACCUCCUUGAGAGGGUAAGGCUCCCAGUAGACGACUGGGUUGAUAGGCCAGAUGUGGAAGCCCGGUAACGGGUGGAGCUGACUGGUACUAAUAGGCCGAGGGCUUGUCCUC
Molecule: non-coding RNA, 1829 nt
Filed under: Streptomyces roseus
Lineage: Bacteria; Bacillati; Actinomycetota; Actinomycetes; Kitasatosporales; Streptomycetaceae
Description: Bacterial large subunit ribosomal RNA
Rfam family: Bacterial large subunit ribosomal RNA
Source: Rfam by way of RNAcentral